GACACGACUUGCUGUUUCUCUCAUCUAGUAGAAGACACUGGAACCACUACACUGUUCGAGGUUGAGAUUCUUCCACAAGUAGGCAGGUUUGGGCUGUGUACAUGAACUGGGAGCCUGACUGGUCUCCUUCCAGCAUAAAUGCUUGUGAGUUUUCUCUAGUCGAUGUCGUCGGGCGCAGUGAAGUUGGCACAAAGGUUUCGUUGCUGACAAAGGUUAACGGUUAUGUUGCAGUGUUCAAACCCGAUGAUGGAAGGGGGGGCCUUGGAGAUCCCUACUGGUGAAAACACGAAGGGUCUGCUUCCGUCUGACCGGAGGAGGCGGCGGCGAGC
This 329-nucleotide long non-coding RNA is filed under the name Setaria viridis. RNAcentral's name for it is "long non-coding RNA (SVIR_LNC006291)". The record is from RNAcentral. Lineage: Eukaryota; Viridiplantae; Streptophyta; Magnoliopsida; Poales; Poaceae.